RNAcentral lists this ribosomal RNA (403 nucleotides) under Verrucomicrobiota bacterium. RNAcentral describes it as "Verrucomicrobia bacterium partial 16S ribosomal RNA". It matches the Rfam family "Bacterial small subunit ribosomal RNA", at positions 355 to 776 of the family's 1533-position model. The record is from RNAcentral. Lineage: Bacteria; Pseudomonadati; Verrucomicrobiota.
UGGGGAAUAUUGCACAAUGGGGGAAACCCUGAUGCAGCGACGCCGCGUGAGCGAAGAAGGUUUUCGAAUCGUAAAGCUCUGUCCUAUGAGAAGGUAAUGACGGUAUCAUAGGAGGAAGCCCCGGCUAAAUACGUGCCAGCAGCCGCGGUAAUACGUAUGGGGCGAGCGUUGUCCGGAAUUAUUGGGCGUAAAGGGUACGUAGGCGGUCUAUUAAGUCAGGUGUGAAAGCGUGAGGCUUAACCUCAUUAAGCACUUGAAACUGAUAGACUUGAGUGAAGGAGAGGAAAGUGGAAUUCCUAGUGUAGCGGUGAAAUGCGUAGAUAUUAGGAGGAAUACCGGUGGCGAAGGCGACUUUCUGGACUUUUACUGACGCUCAGGUACGAAAGCGUGGGGAGCAAACAGG